AUUGAACGCUGGCGGCAGGCCUAACACAUGCAAGUCGAACGGUAACAGGGAUCAGCUUGCUGAUUCGCUGACGAGUGGCGGACGGGUGAGUAAUGUCUGGGAAACUGCCUGAUGGAGGGGGGUAACUACUGGAAACGGUAGCUAAUACCGCAUAACGUCGCAAGACCAAAGAGGGGGACCUUCGGGCCUCUUGCCAUCGGAUGUGCCCAGAUGGGAUUAGCUAGUAGGUGGGGUAACGGCUCACCUAGGCGACGAUCCCUAGCUGGUCUGAGAGGAUGACCAGCCACACUGGAACUGAGGCACGGUCCAGACUCCUACGGGAGGCAGCAGUGGGGAAUAUUGCACAAUGGGCGCAAGCCUGAUGCAGCCAUGCCGCGUGUAUGAAGAAGGCCUUCGGGUUGUAAAGUACUUUCAGCGGGGAGGAAGGGAGUAAAGUUAAUACCUUUGCUCAUUGACGUUACCCGCAGAAGAAGCACCGGCUAACUCCGUG
RNAcentral lists this ribosomal RNA (490 nucleotides) under uncultured bacterium. RNAcentral describes it as "partial 16S ribosomal RNA". It matches the Rfam family "Bacterial small subunit ribosomal RNA", at positions 30 to 507 of the family's 1533-position model. The record is from RNAcentral.